CGCCCCGCGAGGGGAGCGGCAGACGGGAGAGUAACACGUGGGAACGUACCCUUUGGUUCGGAACAACCCAGGGAAACUUGGGCUAAUACCGAAUAAGCCCUUACGGGGAAAGAUUUAUCGCCGAAGGAUCGGCCCGCGUCUGAUUAGCUAGUUGGUGAGGUAACGGCUCACCAAGGCGACGAUCAGUAGCUGGUCUGAGAGGAUGAUCAGCCUCACUGGGACUGAGACACGGCCCAG
Molecule: ribosomal RNA, 237 nt
Filed under: uncultured bacterium
Lineage: Bacteria
Description: partial 16S ribosomal RNA
Rfam family: Bacterial small subunit ribosomal RNA
Source: RNAcentral